UACGUAGGGUGCAAGCGUUGUCCGGAAUUAUUGGGCGUAAAGGGCUCGUAGGCGGCCAACUAAGUCAGACGUGAAAUCCCUCGGCUUAACCGGGGAACUGCGUCUGAUACUGGAUGGCUUGAGUUUGGGAGAGGGAUGCGGAAUUCCAGGUGUAGCGGUGAAAUGCGCAGAUAUCAGGAGGAACACCAAUGGCGAAGGCAGCACUCUGGGACGUGACUGACGCUGAGACGCGAAAGCGUGGGGAGCAAACAGG
This 253-nucleotide ribosomal RNA is filed under the name uncultured bacterium. RNAcentral's name for it is "partial 16S ribosomal RNA". It matches the Rfam family "Bacterial small subunit ribosomal RNA", at positions 524 to 776 of the family's 1533-position model. The record is from RNAcentral.